Molecule: ribosomal RNA, 492 nt
Filed under: uncultured bacterium
Lineage: Bacteria
Description: partial 16S ribosomal RNA
Rfam family: Bacterial small subunit ribosomal RNA
Source: RNAcentral
AUUGAACGCUGGCGGCAUGCUUUACACAUGCGAGUCGAACGGUAACAGGCCUUCGGGUGCUGACGAGUGGCGAACGGGUGAGUAAUGCAUCGGAACGUACCCAGAGGUGGGGGAUAACGCAGCGAAAGCUGUGCUAAUACUGCAUGUGAUCUGAGGAUGAAAGCGGGGGACCGAGCAGCAAUGUUUGGCCUCGCGCCUUUGGAGCGGCCGAUGUCGGAUUAGCUAGUUGGUGGGGUAAAGGCCUACCAAGGCGACGAUCCGUAGCUGGUCUGAGAGGACGACCAGCCACACUGGGACUGAGACACGGCCCAGACUCCUACGGGAGGCAGCAGUGGGGAAUUUUGGACAAUGGGCGCAAGCCUGAUCCAGCAAUGCCGCGUGCGGGAAGAAGGCCUUCGGGUUGUAAACCGCUUUUGGCAGGAACGAAACGGUGUCCGCUAAUACCGGGCGAUAAUGACGGUACCUGCAGAAUAAGCACCGGCUAACUACGUG